UUUUGUCAAUUGACCUAAUGCACUCCCCCCUACCUAGUAUGAUAAGAUUCUGAUUAUCUAUCGUAUCUAAACUGCUUGCAUUUUGUAUUCAAACAAAACCUAUGCCAAGCUGUUAAUUAAUUGAUCAUAUGUUUAAUAAUAGUUGAAUGGUAUCCGGAUUCUUAUAACGCCAUCGAAGACUUACGAAUCUGUUUGCAAUGAAACUGAAACAAUCUGCUAUCGUUACUAUCGUUGUUGACUACAGGAUCGUUUAUAACAAAAUUACCACAUCAUGGAGUGAACACUCCUGACAUAUUGACAGCCUAUGGUAUAUUAUUGCUGCCAUCGACGUUUUACAGCAAUCAGAUCCAUCAGGAAUGCUGUUUGAUGCUUUACGAGUCCUAUAAAAGAACGUAUUUACGAAACUGUGAAGAUAUCGUACAUUGUAUGGUUACGAGUUUUAACCGCGAAGAAGGAGCUACUGAUUUAUCAGAUGAAAUAACAUUAUGUAAAAAUGUAUCUAACCUUGUGAAAUUCGUCGCGAUGUUUUGUUACAGGUAUGUAUACCUACGAAUGAAAAAAGAGACCAUUCUGCGGAUAUUAUUACAAUUCUGGUGAAUGUUUUCGGUAUAGCAGGAAAUUAUUCGUUGAUGAAUAUAGGAAAUUAUUAGCUGAUCGAUUUCUGACUCAAAUUACCUUGGUACAAUACUGAUAAAUAAAUUAGGAAU
Long non-coding RNA from Planococcus citri (citrus mealybug), 707 nucleotides. RefSeq lists it as uncharacterized. Lineage: Eukaryota; Metazoa; Arthropoda; Insecta; Hemiptera; Pseudococcidae. The record is from RefSeq and is a predicted model, not a curated record. The transcript is spliced from 3 exons.